Molecule: ribosomal RNA, 765 nt
Filed under: uncultured bacterium
Lineage: Bacteria
Description: bacterial SSU rRNA
Rfam family: Bacterial small subunit ribosomal RNA
Source: RNAcentral
AUUCCAAGCUUGAGUUUGAUCCUGGCUCAGGAUGAACGCUGGCGGCGUGCCUAAUACAUGCAAGUCGAGCGAGGUUCUUCGGAACCUAGCGGCGGACGGGUGAGUAACACGUGGGUAACCUGCCUAUAAGACUGGGAUAACUUCGGGAAACCGAAGCUAAUACCGGAUACUUUCGAGCAUCGCAUGAUGCUUGAUGGAAAGACGGCUUCGGCUGUCACUUACAGAUGGACCCGCGUCGCAUUAGCUAGUUGGUGAGGUAACGGCUCACCAAGGCGACGAUGCGUAGCCGACCUGAGAGGGUGAUCGGCCACACUGGAACUGAGACACGGUCCAGACUCCUACGGGAGGCAGCAGUAGGGAAUAUUGGACAAUGGGCGCAAGCCUGAUCCAGCCAUGCCGCGUGAGUGAAGAAGGCCCUCGGGUUGUAAAGCUCUUUUGUCCGGAAAGAAAAGCAUCGGGUUAAUACCCCGGUGUUCUGACGGUACCGGAAGAAUAAGCACCGGCUAACUUCGUGCCAGCAGCCGCGGUAAUACGAAGGGUGCAAGCGUUACUCGGAAUUACUGGGCGUAAAGCGUGCGUAGGUGGUUCGUUAAGUCCGAUGUGAAAGCCCUGGGCUCAACCUGGGAAUGGCAUUGGAUACUGGCGGGCUAGAGUGCGGUAGAGGAUAGUGGAAUUCCUGGUGUAGCAGUGAAAUGCGUAGAGAUCAGGAGGAACAUCCGUGGCGAAGGCGACUGUCUGGACCAGCACUACACUAGCACAAGCGAC